CCUACGGGUGGCAGCAGUGGGGAAUAUUGCACAAUGGGCGAAAGCCUGAUGCAGCAACGCCGCGUGAGCGAUGAAGGACUUCGGGUCGUAAAGCUCUGUCCUCAAGGAAGAUAAUGACGGUCCUUGAGAAGGAAGCACCGGCUAACUACGUGCCAGCAGCCGCGGUACUACGUAGGGGGCUAGCGUUAUCCGGCAUUACUGGGGUUAAAGGGUGCGUAGGUGGUUUGUUAAGUCAGAGGUAAAAGUCUACGGCUCAACCGUAGUAAGCAUUUGAAACUGGGAAACUUGAGUGCAGGAGAGGAGAGUGGAAUUACUAGUGUAGCGGUGAAAUGCGUAGAUAUUAGGAGGAACACCAGUUGCGAAGGCGGCUCGCUGGACUGUAACUGACACUGAGGCACGAAAGCGUGGGGAGCAAACAGGAUUAGAUACCCUUGUAGUC
Molecule: ribosomal RNA, 439 nt
Filed under: uncultured bacterium
Lineage: Bacteria
Description: partial 16S ribosomal RNA
Rfam family: Bacterial small subunit ribosomal RNA
Source: RNAcentral